AGUGCCAAAGUAGUUCCUCUUAAGAUUUCAGUGGCAACGUCGUACAAGAAUCAAAAGUAAACAACGAUGGCGUCUGACUCUCACUCAAAUUUGUUAUCUCAUAAUACAAACCUUGUCGAUGACUUUGAAGAAGCAUUCCAAGGUAUCAUCAGCGGUUUCACCAAGGAAGAUGGCUUAUCACACACCCAGGAUAAUAAAGAAGAAUUACGUACGGAUGCCGAACAGAACGUUGCAAAGUUCAUUGAAGUAGCCAAGCAAAUGGAAACAUUUUUCCUUCAAAGGCGCAUGCAAAUAUCUGUUCUGAAACCAGAACAGCUUGUCAAAGAGGAUUGCACAGAACUCAAACAGGAGUUGGCUAGGAAAGAUGAACUUAUCAAAAAGCAUUAUGAGAAAAUUUCAAUAUGGUUAAAUAUGUUGGGUGAACCACAACCUGGACCUGUGGCCAAUGGAACCCCCAUCCUCAGUGAAGGAGUACCUGCUCCACUACAGCAGCAACCAGGCAAUACAAUGCCAUUUCAGCAUCGAUAGCUUUACAAGAUGUAAAGAAAAUUUCUCGCGUUUAUUUCCUGAAUACUGUAUCAAAGUGAAUUUAAAACAUCUUUUGGAAAUCCUCACUCUGACUAAUGCGGCUUAGAACUUCAAUCAACCCAAGUAAGGCACAUCAGAGCCAUCGACCACUCCCCCAACGCCUGCGAUAUCAAGAUGCAUCCAAUGAGGAGCUUCUGUGAAUUCCUGUUCGGUAGAAAAUAAAUGUACGUUGUUCAUAUAA
Molecule: unclassified non-coding RNA, 769 nt
Filed under: Daphnia magna
Lineage: Eukaryota; Metazoa; Arthropoda; Branchiopoda; Diplostraca; Daphniidae
Description: mediator of RNA polymerase II transcription subunit 28, transcript variant X1
Source: RNAcentral